CACCCCUCAGGGUCACACCUGGAGAGUUUCCAGUACUCUACCAGUCUCAGCUAUGGGAGGGAGAGUCAAGCAGAGGCCUACCCAUUCCAUUUCUAGCUUGGGCAGUGGCUAGUGAGUGGAAGGCCAUCUGCUACAAGU
RNAcentral lists this small nucleolar RNA (138 nucleotides) under Ornithorhynchus anatinus (platypus). Lineage: Eukaryota; Metazoa; Chordata; Mammalia; Monotremata; Ornithorhynchidae. The record is from RNAcentral.